Molecule: long non-coding RNA, 1062 nt
Organism: Bos taurus (domestic cattle)
Lineage: Eukaryota; Metazoa; Chordata; Mammalia; Artiodactyla; Bovidae
Source: Ensembl
CAUCACUGUACUAUAUUUUGAGGGGAAAAAAGUAAAAGAUGAAUUCUCAAGUAAGUGUGGCUCUUUCAACUUAUUUAUUCCUCAACAAUUAAAGGAUGUGAUGUGUGUUUGAGGGGUGGGAGGUGAACUAUAACUUUCUUGAACACAGACCAUUUCUUCAGCAGUACUUCCUCAGUCUUAACCACUUACUUGAUUUUUCCAAGACCAUAUUUCUUCUACUUUUUUUGGCUAGGUUCUCUUCAUCUAAUUCCUUACUGAAAAUUUUCUGAUUCAUCUAUAGUCAUAGCCCUUAUUUAAGGGCUUAAAUUUGCCUUUUUGGACAUCUUCAAGGAAUAAUAGAACAACUGCUCCUUCGUAGGGGUAGGCUAUAAUUAGGCUAUCACUCUCACCCCAAUAUCUUUCUCUCAGCUUUGCUUCUGAAGCAAAAGAGAAGAUCCUGCAAAAAAAAAAAAAAAAAAAGAAGAUACUGGAGUAUCAGCAGAAACUCUAAGGUCAGGAGUGAGUGGAAUGAUAUAUCCAAUGUUGAAAGAUAGAAAUUGCCAACCAAGAAAACUUUAUCUGACAAUGGUAUCUUUCAGAUAAGAGGAAGAAAUAAAUGUUUCCCCAGUCAAUUGCUGAGGGAGUUCACCACCACUAGACCUGCCUUGAAAGAAAUGUUGAAAAUUCUUCAAGCUGAAAUGAAAAAAACACUUAUCAGUGGCAGGAAAACCUGUGAAAGUUCAUGACACACUGGUAAAGAUGAAAGUCAGAUUCAGAAAACCAUAACUCUAUAUUAGGAUGUUGUAUUAAUUGCUCAAUUAUAGUAAAAAAAAAGGAAGAGAGUAGAAAAAAUAACUAUAGCUACCAUAAAUUGUAUUAUAAACAAAUACAUGGCAUAAAAAGAAGUAAAUUGUAACAUCAAUUAUAUGAAAAGAGUAAAAGAGUGGAGCUUUUAUAGGCAUGCAAAGAUAAGUUGCUAUUAACUGGAAAUGGACUACUCAGAAACCUAGACUAGAUCUACAAAAGACAAAGAAAGGGGAAACAAAGAAUACCACCAUGGAAACUAACCAAUUUAUAAAAGUA